Non-coding RNA from Pelobates cultripes (western spadefoot toad), 209 nucleotides. The record is from the annotation of a GenBank genome assembly. Lineage: Eukaryota; Metazoa; Chordata; Amphibia; Anura; Pelobatidae.
CUCUUCUGAUCUCUCCCCGUCCCUCUUGACUAGAGUCUCUGACUGCCUCUCUGCUGUUUCUAACUGGAUGGCUGCCCACUUCCUUAAACUAAACGUGACCAAAACUGAAAUUCUGGUCUUUCCUCCCUCAAGUGUUGUUACUCCUGUGUCUGUCUCCCUCCAAGUCAAUGGUGCUACCAUCAGCUCCACCACGCAAGCUCGCUGCCUAG